Long non-coding RNA from Coffea arabica (coffee), 825 nucleotides. RefSeq lists it as uncharacterized. Lineage: Eukaryota; Viridiplantae; Streptophyta; Magnoliopsida; Gentianales; Rubiaceae. The record is from RefSeq and is a predicted model, not a curated record.
AUAUUAAAAUUUUAUUGUGGAUCCAUUUCUUGCAUGCUUAUCCUGCCGUACCUGUAGGCGGAUGGGGAAUGGGUAAAAGCAUUAAUAAGGUAAACAAGUUCAACACGUGCACGGAGCCUCAGACUAGUCCAGUCGCGGAGGCUAUGAGCGCAAGCGCGGGGAGAUGAAAGCAGACGCUUAGAUUAUUUUAUUCGUCUUCAUCGUCUGAUGCAAAUAAGGCUUUGUAGUAGCAAUCAAUCAAAUGGUGUUGUGCUACCCUUCCACACCUAAGAAGUUGGUAUCAACGGUGGCAUGCUUCCUUGGUGGUGCUUGUCUAUUUGGCUACGGGUUGCAUCUGUGGCACUCCAACAUUGGCCCUCAGCAAGCUCGGAUUAAAGCUCGGAAUGAGUUUGUCAGACAGCGUUUGAGACAGAAACAUGGAAAGGAGUAGACUGCCCAUAUCAAUAUGCUCCAGUUAUUCACGGCCUUCACCGCUGCUGGGAGUAAUGCUACUUGUCAUUGGAUCACUGGCUAUUCAGAAAUUAUGGUGGUGGUGUUUCGAACGGUUCAACUUGAAAUGACUCUAGUAGAAUUCACUACAAGACUCGGCUGCGUGUAGUCUCUUCAAUGUAGCUUGCAGUUUGCUAGGAUUUUCUAUUACCUGACUCGCUGAAAAUAAUAACAAUGUUGCCCUGAUUAUGAAUUUACUGGAUCAAAAUUAAUAAGAUCACUCGUACAGCAAGGAUUGAGAGAUCAAUGGUCGUAACCGUCUUCCCUCUUCUCUGUGUGAGUUGUCUUCCUCCACCUGAUUAAUAAGAUUGAUUACACUAUUCAGCAUUCUGUUCA